CGGGGCGUGACGCUCAGAACCAUAGGGAUCACCAUUUUAUUUUCAAUCAUCGAAGGAAUCACCAGAUCGGUUAACGGCCGGUACAACAGCUAUUUCAGUUUCAGAUUUCACACUCACCAACCUUCACUGCUCUUACGCCACUCUUUCUCUCUUUCUCCUCUACCAAAACGUGGCUUUCACUUCCCUUCUGAGAAUCUCUGCUGCAAAUAUUCUGGCGUUUCGGCUCACCCACCUAACAACACCAGAUGUUCUCUCUCCUCUCUCGAAUUUCUAGAGAAAGCUAGCUUUGGAUGCUGAGAAGAUUAGUUUUGAACUCUGUGAGAAAGAGGAAUCAUGAGAACGCAACUUUUAGAAAUCCAGCCGAGGGAACUGAAGUUUAUAUGUGAGUUAUGGACCCAUAUUAAUCAUUUGUUAUUCUUGAUUAUUGAUGUACUGAUUUCAUCGUAUUUGGGAUUGUUAUUGCUUUUAAAGAUAGUUGGUGCUUUGUUUGAUCAAUGAGAAUUGGGCUGCGAAACGAGAGUAAGAAGAUCUAUAAAAUUUGACAUUUUUAUCUUUCUUGUUGCGUUUUCUUUUGGUUUUGGGAAGACAAAAAGGGAAAAAAAAAAGGUGGGUGGGUUACCUUAAUAUCUUUAAAUUGCACAGAACCUCUUAUUUAUUUCACUUUUAUAGCACUGGAAACAAUGAAAAGAAUGUUUCUUUUCCCCCAAUUAUUUAUUUUUUUUCCAGAUUAGUCUUAGAGACAAUCUGGGAAUAGUUUUUGUAGCUGCGGAUAUAUAAAUGAUUAGUUUUAUUGUUUUUGCGGAUUGAAAUACUUGUGAUUGUUCCCCCUUUUGUAGUUGAAUUAAAGAAGCAGAGCUCAUGUGCAGUCCAACUUACCAAUAGCACCUAUGACAAUGUUGCUUUCAAGGUUAAGACUACUUCCCCUAAGAAAUAUUGUGUACGACCAAAUGUUGGCAUUAUCUUGCCAAAAUCAACUUGUGAAUUUAUCGGUAAGCAUUUUGCAUUUCCCUCCAAGUAAUCAUGACUGUUUGCGGGCAUCCAUGUGUACACACAUGCAAACAAUACUUGGGUCUAUUAACCUUUCUUUUCAAUGUUGUGUAAUGAAGUUUAAAGCUGCAAGUGGUGUUUAUUGAAAUGUUUUUCAAGAGUUAGUGGUUAUUAUCUUGUAAUCCUAUUACUUACUUUGUUGUUAGAAUUUUCUAUGGUUCAUCUUCCUUUUAGUGAAGUUAGUUUUAAGAGUACAGAUCUGGGUUCUCUCUGGUAAUUCACAUCUUCAGCAGACCCUCUUGAGACAACUUUUCAAUCUUGGAUUAAAUUGUUGUCAUAAUUUAACUUAGAAAGCAUAGGAUAAAAGGCAUUGAUUAAGCUGUUAUGCUAAUUUCUUUGUUUUGAUGCUGUUUUUAGUCAUUUUCCCCUCCUACCCAACUCUGCACUUCAGUUACUAUUUACUCUGUGCAGCAAUUUUUAACUGCAUACUAUUUACUUAUGAUAAGUGUAUUGUUGUUCUGUGCUUUUUGGGGUUGAUGUUAAUAUAGUGACAAUGCAAGCUCCAAAGGCAACUAGUAAUGAAAAGGUGUGCAAAGACAAGUUUUUAAUCCAAAGCGUAGUUGUUCCUGUUGGAACAACUGAGAAGGACAUAACAUCUAACAUGUUUUACAAAGAUGAUGGCAAGUACGUUGAAGAGAUCAAGCUGAAAGUGGGCCUUAUCAGCCCACCUCAAUCUCCCGUACUAUCUCCAAUUAAUGGGGUGCUUAAGCAGGAACCUCUUUUUGGAGCUUCUGUGCUGAGAGAUCCUAUAUUGAGUAAAGUUGAGAAUACCACUCCACCACACAUGGUUAGAGAUUUCUUCUAGCUGGACAAUGCUGGAAUUACUAAGCUAGUAUGAUAUAACUUUUGAAUACUAUGUAUUUGUUAUUCUUUCAUUUGUGUCAGGUUGCCAAGAAUGCAGAAUUCAAAAUGAUUUAUGAUCAGGAGUUCAAAAAAGAAAAGGAUGUGGAGUUGAAGCCAAAUAAGGAUAUUGAUGAUCAGGAGUUGAAGCCAGAAAAUGAUGCAGAAAUGAUGCCAAGUAAUGAUGUGGUUAAUGUUGAGGCAGUAAAUCUGGCGAAUGAUGAAGAGUUGAAGUCAGAAAAUAAUGCCGUCAAUGAUAAUCUGGCAAAGGAUGCACAUUUAUCUCCCCCAAAGAAUGCAGAAUUUGUAACAUUAAAGGCUGUGGAGGAGUUGAAGUUUGUCAAUGACAUUGAGGAGAUGAAGUCAAAACUGAAUGUACUUGAAUCAAAGCUUAAUGAGGCUGAAUCUACUAUUUCAAAAUUGUCAGAGGAGAGAAGAUUAAGCAUUCAGGACAGAAAAAUUUUGAAGGACGAACUAGCCAUGUUGAGGAGCAGGACAAGCACAAGAAGAGUUCAAGUGGGAUUUCCUCUUCUUUUUGUUGUUAUGGUUGCUCUUGUCAGUGUUUUGCUUGGAUACCUUUCUCACCCAUGAGUACGAAGACAUUACAGAGUAUGUCAAAGUUUGUUAUAGUUAGAACUUUAAAGUACUAAUUGAAUUCUCCAAGGAAUAGGAAGGGACUGUAAGUUCAUCCUUUUUGGGUUUAUUCAAUCUAGGUUAGUAUGUUGAGUGUGUAGAUGAUACUCUUAAUGAAAAUAUCGAAUGUAGAGUGCCUGAUUCUGAUAAAAAGAUGAGAAAAUAUUAUCUGAAAUAGUGGAUAAGAGGGUAGCUGUAAUAGAAUACUACUGUAAUAGAAUACUAUCUGUCCAAUGACCAAUGCCUCACUGUUGUAGAUACAUUAUUCCUGUCUUGAAACAGGUUGGUCAUACAUGUACACUCAUAUAUAUGCUCUUCCCUUAUAAAGUUGAGUUGAGAACGAACUGUGUUCUUAUUUUUAUAUAUAAACAAGGCAUAAGCUUAAGCAGAGACAGCCUAGCAAUUCAUGGGUUCGGAAUUGCAAAGGCUGAUAAAUGUAAUGAAUUGCUGUAGAAAUUAAUUGUCAGAUGUGUUGUCCAUAUUGUAUAACAGCAACAGCCCCAACCCAGAAAAAUAAAGGAUCAAUAAAGUUAAAUAUGUCAUGAGAAUAGACAAUGGAGAUGGUACUCUGCUUCAUGUUCUUCUAACAAUUCCCUGAAUGGGAAAGCAAAAAUCGAUUCUGCUGUGUGUCGGAGAACAGAAAAGGCUUCAGCCAGGAUGCUAUUUCCAGCAACAACUGAGGGAGCUGCUGUAACUAUAGCAGAAGAGUUUGAGAAGGUAUUUUCAAUUCAGAUGCAUUUGAAUAUGCAAGUAAAAACUUUUGGUAAAAAUAAUUCUCUACCCACUAGUAUACUUCUAAUUUAGAAAUAAUUUUAAAAGAAAGAAUGCAGUUGUAUUUUGCUUCUGAAAUAUUAGACGAUGG
Molecule: unclassified non-coding RNA, 3382 nt
Filed under: Hevea brasiliensis (rubber tree)
Lineage: Eukaryota; Viridiplantae; Streptophyta; Magnoliopsida; Malpighiales; Euphorbiaceae
Source: RNAcentral